CCCUUAGAUGUUCUGGGCCGCACGCGCGCUACACUGAUGCAUUCAACAAGUUCUACCUUGGCCGAGAGGCCUGGGAAAUCUUUCAAAUAUGUAUCGUGAUAGGGAUAGAUUAUUGCAAUUAUUAAUCUUGAACGAGGAAUUCCUAGUAAAUGCAGAUCAUCAUUCUGCGUUGAUUACGUCCCUGCCCUUUGUACACACCGCCCGUCGCACCUACCGAUUGAAUGAUCCGGUGAAGCCUCGGGAUUGUGCCCAGAGAACUUUAUUGUGAUUUGGGUGUGAGAACUUGUCUAAACCUUAUCAUCUAGAGGAAGGUGAAGUCGUAACA
RNAcentral lists this ribosomal RNA (325 nucleotides) under uncultured eukaryote. Its description in RNAcentral is "partial 18S ribosomal RNA". It matches the Rfam family "Eukaryotic small subunit ribosomal RNA", at positions 1470 to 1796 of the family's 1831-position model. The record is from RNAcentral.